Molecule: long non-coding RNA, 873 nt
Filed under: Homo sapiens (human)
Lineage: Eukaryota; Metazoa; Chordata; Mammalia; Primates; Hominidae
Description: HSALNT0312700
Source: RNAcentral
GUUGAGAGGAGCGCACGUACGUUGAGAGGAGCGCACGUACGUUGAGAGGAGCGCACCGGAGAAAGAACACACGAGCUGCGGGACAGUGAGAGGAACACACUGGUAGAAGAGCACACAGGCAGCUGGAUGUCGAGAGGAGCGGAAGAGCACAGCGACAGGCACUGGUGUCGACCAGCGGAACGACGUGGAGUUUGGCCUGGGAGGUCAGAGAAGAAUUUGGCUGCUGGGCAGCCCCACUAUAGGGGAAAACCACCUUCCCACUCCAUUCCCCUUCUGAUCUCCCCAUCCACCUCGCUGAGAGCUACCACAACUCAAUAAAAAACCUAGCACUCGAUCUCCAAGCCCACAUGUGAUCCAAUUUUUCCCGUGCACUAAAGCAAGAACCUGGGAUACAGAAAGCCGUCUGUCCUUGUGAUAAGGCAGAGGGUCUAAUUGAGCUGAUUAACACAAGCCACCUGCGGACAGCUAAGCUGAAAAAGCAUCCUGUAACACACGCCCACUGGGGCCUCAGGAGGUGUAAACAUUCACCCCGAGAGGCUGCAUGGGUCCGCGCCCAUGGUCCCCAUGACUUGCCUGUUUGCCUGCUCUGGCUAAGGGUCUUGACCAGUGGGGCACUGAAGAAGCGAGCCACACCUCCAUCGUACGCCCUGCGAGGAGGGGUCUCACUCAGUGACCCAGGCUGAAUGCAGUGGAACAAUCAUGGCUUACUGUAGCCUUGACCUUGAGGGCUUAAGCAAUCCUGCCACCUCAGCCUGCCUAGUACUGGGACUACAGGUACGCGCCACCACGCCCAGGCUGGAGUGCAAUGACAUGAUCUCGGCUCACUGCAACCUCUGCCUCCUGGAUUUAAGCAAUUCUGCUGCCUCAGCCUCC